GGGAGCAGGAUGGGGGUGGGGGGGGGCCCACACAGGUCUUUCCCGUGCGGCCAAUGGGACGUCGACUUUUCCGCGCCCAACAGGUCGGCAAUGCGGGCGAUUCGUUUUCGGCUCGAUUGCGGCCCGGCUGAAACGCGCACGGGUCACAAUGAGCGAUACGGUACUCGGCUCCGGGGAUCCGCGUCCGGCACACGGUUCCGCGGUUUUAUUUUCGGCCGUUCGCGCGUGAUAAACAACAAACACAACACGUCGUACGCGGCGGCGGCGUAUUCGGUUGUCCGCGGACGACGUUUUCGUUCACACGAUACACACAUACAUUACGUCGUUAGGAUGUUAUCCGUCGAUUACGGAACACAAUGUAAUUGUGACGUCUACAAUUACUGCUCGGCAGAUUGCACAGGACUAAUGAUAAUACGGUCACGGGCGAACAGAAACGCCGUUUGGUUCAAUCGAGCGCGGCAUUACGUAUUGCUGUCGACGGGACGGGCGCGAACGGACCGCGGCCGUAACGGCCUUUACCGUUUGAUAGAAAAAUACCUCUACCGGUUUUUUUUUUUUUGUCUUUCUUCCCGCUACUUUUUCUCGUAGAAACCUACGCCGCCCGCGGCGGUUCGUCUACGCGGCGCGGAGCGGAGAAAAAUGUGUGUACAAUCUCAAAAAGUGCCCCGCGCGCGCUCAGAGAGAAAGCGUGAGAGACGGCGCGAAAAAAAGGCCGCGACCCCCGGCGCGACCCGGACGUCGUGUCCCGUCCGUUCCGUUACGGUCGGCUACGGGUUCCGAGACGGACGGGCACGGGCGUUAUUUCGAGUUCGAUUCGUUCGGAGCGAGAGGCGUUUUGUCCGCGGCGGCGACGACUGAUAAAUCGUCUCGUUUUCCGCCCCUCCGGCAACCUCGCUACGACACAAGAGUGGCCUAUCAUUUUUUUUUUUUUUUUUUUUUUUUUUUUUUUUUUUUUUUUUUCCUCCUUUCCUCUCUUCGUAACGCAUGGGAGAGACACGCAUUCUGCGGCGGUUACCUGUACGGCCGCGUUCAUGGCUAUCAAGGUUUAUAGAUAAUUAUCUGCGCAGACCUUGUACGGCCACGCCGAUUAUGACAAUCUCUAACCCCGUGCGGCGGCGCGCCGAACGUGUAGGAGAACCGGUGGAUAAUAAUAUAAUUAUCGUGCAGCCGCGACGCUAUCGAUGUGUUUCGAUUGUUCGUAGUUUUCGAUAAUUAUUUAUUUACCGACGAAAAAACGUAUUCGCGUCGAAUGUCGAACGGGCGCGAACUAUAAUAAACACGAAAACGACAUUUAUUACUGUACGCUCGGAAUAUGUUUCUGCGCGCGAUUAAACCUGUUUAAUCACGCGAUAAACGUAAGCCCGUAGACAUAUGACAUUACAAUGUCGAAUGGCUUUCGCAUUCGCUAGAGAAAAACAAAACGGUUUUCGCAUGCGCUUGCGUGCCCCGCGUAACGAUACGUGAACCGACGAUAACCGGCGGACAUGGCAGGACGGACAGCCGACGGGAUACGGCGGUUCUGACGACGCACAAUCGGCUAGGUCCAGAGUGGCACCGAGAUAAUAAUAUCCUGACGGUUCGCGGGCCCGGUUCGACUAUCGAUAGUUACCCGCGCCACAUACCCGACGACUAAACCGACCGGCGCGCGUUUGGCCGCCGCGUACAAAUGUUCGAACGUAUUAUUUUCCGACAAUUCCGUACCGAGAACAUAUUGCACCGAGUCAGGUGCCCGGCGACCGCGCGCGCACGG
Cinara cedri is the source of this 1750-nucleotide non-coding RNA. NCBI's taxonomy places the organism in Eukaryota, Metazoa, Arthropoda, Insecta, Hemiptera, Aphididae. The record is from the annotation of a GenBank genome assembly.